GAUGCGGCGGAGAGCAGCUGCCCCUUAUCUGAAGAACAGACGUCAUGGAUCCUUCUUUGGAGGGGGGUUUAAAUUGCUUUUGGCCUCUCUGAAAUGAGGAAGGUAACCACCCCGCCUGCCCUGCAGGACACAUCCCAUCUCAGCGUGCACAGGUUCAUGGAAUUUGAAAUGGAUCCCACCCUCCUGCUCACCGCAGGGCUGGCUUCUAACAGCCGUAGUAUGGUCACAGAUGGUAAAAAGAAAGGUAGGGGACUGUUUUUUCCUGUUUCCAGAAUUUUGUUUCCAGUUUGGUUCAUCCCUUUCACAAUAUUGAUGCGAGGAGCUUGGACAUGCUGGAAGGCAGGACUUUGGUUUCAGGAGGCGUGUUGGGGCUGUUGGUUUAGUCCUUUACUGGUAUGAAGAUCAAGACUUGUGAAAAAACCAUACAGUAAAAUAGAAAAAACCCACCUCAUUUAUCUUGUUAACUAGUUACUUG
Molecule: long non-coding RNA, 475 nt
Organism: Athene cunicularia (burrowing owl)
Lineage: Eukaryota; Metazoa; Chordata; Aves; Strigiformes; Strigidae
Exons: 3
Source: RefSeq, a predicted model, not a curated record